Molecule: long non-coding RNA, 343 nt
Filed under: Monodelphis domestica (gray short-tailed opossum)
Lineage: Eukaryota; Metazoa; Chordata; Mammalia; Didelphimorphia; Didelphidae
Description: lncRNA (ENSMODG00000036989.1)
Source: RNAcentral
AUGGCUCCUUUAAGGUUGCUGCUUGGGGAGAGGGGAUGGAUUGUUGGCAAAAUUCGAGUGCUGCCAAGCUGGGAUCCUUGUCACUUCCAACCGAGCCAGCUCCCAGUGAGACAUGUUCCUCUCAAUCAAAGAACAACCUCUGAUCAGAAUAGCCUCCGUGUCCCUCCCUGCCAGUAUCACCUUCAGACUGAGCUCAGCGUCCGCAGCCAAGAUGCUACAGGUCUCAUCUAGCCCCUGUUGCCAUGCAGACACCAGCCACUGAACUCGUCCUCAGUCCGUACUCCCUGCUUUUGGCUGGUAUGACAGUUUUGCACUACCCAGCCCCAGCCAAGACUGUUCUCUC